UCGUGCAGCUGGGAAGUUAGCGGUGUCCUGUACCUGCAAUCCGCUAUAGCAGGAGUGAUACUCUGUAGAGGGCGUAUUUUCUGUAAGGCUGCCCAGUAUAAGUGGCGUUGACGUUUGGGUCUUACGCAAUGGAGCUUCGCGAACCGUGUCAGGUCAGGAAUGAAGCAGCACUAAGUGAAAUACUCCAUGUGACGUAAGGAAGCCUGGACUGAGUUAACUGUAUUGGUAACGCUUAUGGAGUACGUUCGAAGCAGAGUGCACGA
Molecule: signal recognition particle RNA, 263 nt
Filed under: Lachnospiraceae bacterium
Lineage: Bacteria; Bacillati; Bacillota; Clostridia; Lachnospirales; Lachnospiraceae
Description: signal recognition particle sRNA large type
Rfam family: Bacterial large signal recognition particle RNA
About the family: The signal recognition particle (SRP) is a universally conserved ribonucleoprotein involved in the co-translational targeting of proteins to membranes. Archaeal SRP consists of a 7S RNA and homologues of the eukaryotic SRP19 and SRP54 proteins.
Source: RNAcentral